This 253-nucleotide ribosomal RNA is filed under the name uncultured bacterium. RNAcentral describes it as "partial 16S ribosomal RNA". It matches the Rfam family "Bacterial small subunit ribosomal RNA", at positions 524 to 776 of the family's 1533-position model. The record is from RNAcentral.
UACGGAGGAUCCAAGCGUUGUCCGGAUUUAUUGGGUUUAAAGGGUGCGUAGGCGGAUAUACAAGUCAGUGGUGAAAGCUAGCAGCUCAACUGCUAAAUUGCCUUUGAAACUGUAUAUCUUGAGUAUAUUUGAGGUGGGCGGAAUGUAUCAUGUAGCGGUGAAAUGCUUAGAUAUGAUACAGAACUCCGAUUGCGAAGGCAGCUCACUAAACUAUAACUGACGCUGAGGCACGAAAGCGUGGGUAGCGAACAGG